GACGAACGCUGGCGGCGUGCUUAACACAUGCAAGUCGAACGGAAAGGCCCUGCUUUUGUGGGGUGCUCGAGUGGCGAACGGGUGAGUAACACGUGAGUAACCUGCCCUUGACUUUGGGAUAACUUCAGGAAACUGGGGCUAAUACCGGAUAGGAGCUCCUGCUGCAUGGUGGGGGUUGGAAAGUUUCGGCGGUUGGGGAUGGACUCGCGGCUUAUCAGCUUGUUGGUGGGGUAGUGGCUUACCAAGGCUUUGACGGGUAGCCGGCCUGAGAGGGUGACCGGCCACAUUGGGACUGAGAUACGGCCCAGACUCCUACGGGAGGCAGCAGUGGGGAAUAUUGCACAAUGGGCGGAAGCCUGAUGCAGCAACGCCGCGUGCGGGAUGACGGCCUUCGGGUUGUAAACCGCUUUCGCCUGUGACGAAGCGUGAGUGACGGUAAUGGGUAAAGAAGCACCGGCUAACUACGUGCCAGCAGCCGCGGUGAUACGUAGGGUGCGAGCGUUGUCCGGAUUUAUUGGGCGUAAAGGGCUCGUAGGUGGUUGAUCGCGUCGGAAGUGUAAUCUUGGGGCUUAACCCUGAGCGUGCUUUCGAUACGGGUUGACUUGAGGAAGGUAGGGGAGAAUGGAAUUCCUGGUGGAGCGGUGGAAUGCGCAGAUAUCAGGAGGAACACCAGUGGCGAAGGCGGUUCUCUGGGCCUUUCCUGACGCUGAGGAGCGAAAGCGUGGGGAGCGAACAGGCUUAGAUACCCUGGUAGUCCACGCUGUAAACGGUGGGUACUAAGUGUGGGGUCCAUUCCACGGGUUCCGUGCCGUAGCUAACGCUUUAAGUACCCCGCCUGGGGAGUACGGCCGCAAGGCUAAAACUCAAAGGAAUUGACGGGGCCCCGCACAAGCGGCGGAGCAUGCGGAUUAAUUCGAUGCAACGCGUAGAACCUUACCUGGGUUUGACAUGGAUCGGGAGUGCUCAGAGAUGGGUGUGCCUCUUUUGGGGUCGGUUCACAGGUGGUGCAUGGCUGUCGUCAGCUCGUGUCGUGAGAUGUUGGGUUAAGUCCCGCAACGAGCGCAACCCUUGUUCACUGUUGCCAGCACGUUAUGGUGGGGACUCAGUGGAGACCGCCGGGGUCAACUCGGAGGAAGGUGGGGAUGACGUCAAGUCAUCAUGCCCCUUAUGUCCAGGGCUUCACGCAUGCUACAAUGGCUGGUACAGAGAGUGGCGAGCCUGUGAGGGUGAGCGAAUCUCGGAAAGCCGGUCUCAGUUCGGAUUGGGGUCUGCAACUCGACCUCAUGAAGUCGGAGUCGCUAGUAAUCGCAAAUCAGCAACGCUGCGGUGAAUACGUUCCCGGG
This 1343-nucleotide ribosomal RNA is filed under the name uncultured bacterium. RNAcentral's name for it is "16S ribosomal RNA". It matches the Rfam family "Bacterial small subunit ribosomal RNA", at positions 28 to 1378 of the family's 1533-position model. The record is from RNAcentral.